UGAGCAAUCUGCCCUUCUCUUUGGAAUAAGCGUUGGAAACGACGUCUAAUGCCGAAUACGACCUCCUUUCGCAUGAUCGGAGGUGGAAAGCUCCGGCGGAGAAGGAUGAGCUCGCGGCCUAUCAGCUUGUUGGUGUGGUAAUGGCCCACCAAGGCGACGACGGGUAGCCGGCCUGAGAGGGUGACCCGGCCACACGUGGGACUGAGACACGGCCCAGACCUCCCGUACGGGGAGGNACGCG
This 241-nucleotide ribosomal RNA is filed under the name uncultured bacterium. RNAcentral describes it as "partial 16S ribosomal RNA". It matches the Rfam family "Bacterial small subunit ribosomal RNA", at positions 118 to 350 of the family's 1533-position model. The record is from RNAcentral.